AGACAAAAAUUUUCUUUUCUUUGCUUUGCUUUUUUUUACUUUUUUUUUGGUUCUUUCUUUGUUUCAUUAUUUGUAUGAUGUAUUUUUUCUGUUAACCAUAUGCUAAUCCUAUAUAAUCUAUUUGCGUUAGAGGUAGAAUAUGAGCUUUGGUAAAAGAGUCUCUCUUUCUUUCUUUCUUUUUUUCUGUGUUUCUUUCUUUUAAUUAAAUUUGCAGUGAUAGUUGAGAUUUUUUGCUCUACAUCCGGAUUUGCAUGACUAGUUGGUUAGCGGGAAAAAAGUAUAUUAAGUACUUAUGAUUAUUUAUAGCAUAUUGAUGUGGCAUUUGACAGUUUGGGUUAACUAUUGUUGAGGAGAUGUAAGAAUUCAUUUUUAUUUUCACAGUUAUUUCAUGAUGCAUAUUAUAUAACUUGUAUAUAUUCAUGGAUAUUGCAGUACUCACUUAAAGUGACUGAUGCGUUUUAAAGGUAGAAUCCGUUUUUGAAUAAAACAUUUUUUAUUCGUUUUGUAUGUGACCUAUGUAUUCAUCCUAGGUUAUGCGACCUUUACUGACCGUGACUAAUACGUUAAAGAUAAAAUCUGUUGUUCGAGAAAUUUUUUUUUUCCUUGUUUAUUUGUUUCAUUUAAAUUUGCAAUGACAUAUCCAUUUAGUACUUUAUAAAGUUUUAUGAUCAUUUAUAUCAAAUUGACGUGGUCAGUUAUGCAAUUUAAGGGAUAGAGAGGAUCUUUGCAUGAUCAUUGUCCCGAAGAGAAUUCUUCAUUUUCAUAUCUAUUGAACAAUGCAAUUGUUGUCCAUAUGCUAUAUAAUCUAUGUGUUAUUCAUAGGUUAUGUGACAUUCACUUGUUGCGAGUGAUUCACCGUAGAGGUAGAGUUCGAAUUUUGAUAGAAAACUUUCUUUCUUUCCUUCUUUCUUUCUUCAUUUCCUUUUUUCUUUCAUUUGAAUUUGUAGAAAGACGUGUGUUGUAGGUUCAAAUCCGAGCUUGCAUUGAAAGGGUGGAAAAAGGUCUGUCAUCAAGUUUUAUGAUCACUUGUAACAUAUUGAUGUGUAAUGUUAGACAAUCUAAGAGAUUAGGGGGAUAUUUUCACAAAGGUUAUGUAAGGGAAAGAGUUUCAUAUUGAUGUGCUCUGUUAGCAUAUCAAAGUGGUCUUUUACGCGGGCUAAGAGAAGCGGAUGAUGUUGGCUUAAUUUUUGCCAAGAAGAGGUAAAACAUUCUUUUUGCUCUUCAUGAUUAUUGAAUGAGGCAUUUGUUAUCAUUAUGCUGUUGACUUAUGUAUUUCUCAUAGGUUAUACAACAUCCACAGAUAACGAGUCAUGUGUCAAAGGUAGAAUUUGAGGUUUGAAAGUAAAGUUUUUUUUUUUUUUUCUUCCUUCUUUUCUUUCUUUCUUUCUUUUAUUUAAAUUUGCAGUGACGCGUCCGUUUGGUUGCUCUCAGUCCGAGCUUGCAUUAAAGUGUUCAAGAAUGAAAAACUGCAAUAUGUGCCUCUGGUAGCUUUGAGUCCAAGCUUGUAUGGGAACAUUUAUCAACAAGAAAGAGGUCAUGGGGGAUUCAACAUAGUGAAUGAUGCAUUUUGGUGGUAGAUUCUGAAUUUCAAAGGUAAACUUUCUUUCUUUCAUUCUUUCCAUCAUUCAUUCUUUCAUUAUCUACAUUUGCAGUGAUUCAUUUGCUAGUUCCGAAUCCAAACUGGCAAUGAAGAUUCGCUAAUAAGAAUGAGGUAUAUUAUCAAGUUUUAUAAUCAAUUAUAAUAUAUUUAUUUGCUCUUUUAGGCAGGUCCCGAGAAAGGGAUGAUGUUGGCAUAAUUGUUGUUAAGAAGAAGUAAUGCUUCAUUUUCUCCUUCAUAUGUCACAUAUGCAAUCUAUAUGUCAUGUAACUUAUACAUUCCUCAUAGGUUAUGCAACACUCAUUGACAGCUAUUGAUGCAUUCUAGAGUUAGAAUCGGAGCUUUGAUAAGAAAUUUUGUUUCUUCAUUCUUCCUUUUAUUUUUUUUUUACUUAUUUUCUUUCCUUCUUCAUUUAAAUAUUACAGUAAAAUGUACAUUUAUAAAUCCGAGCUUACUUGGAAAAGUUCACAAGUAGAAAGCGAUGUCUUGUCAAGUUUUAUGAUCAUGUGUAACAUAUUGAAGAUAUCUUUUAGGUGGACUAAGGGAAGUGUUUGAAUAUUAUAAAAGAUUUAUAUACAUAAUAGGUUGAUUAUGUUUCCAAAUGUAUUAGACUAAUGAGGAAAGAAAUUAUUAGAAUAAUUUAUAUUGGUUACCAUAUAUGAUUUUAUUUACAUGUAUAUAUAUUUCUACUUUUAUUUCAAUAAAAUAUAAGAAAUAUUCAGUUUUUUUUUAAAAAAAUUACAUGGUUUCAGAGUUAGGGUUAGGAUUUUUUGAGGACAAAAUAGAUCAUACCACAUAAAGGGUUAGGAUUCUUUUGCUUUCCUAUUUAACUGUACUGUUAGAUUUACUCCUUAUAGUUCGUUGAAGGGCUAGAAGAGUUACCAUUCAAAGUAGGCAUCAGGAUGUCACAUGGUCAAGGCAUUGAACGCCUGGUUUUUGCAGAAAGAAAGGGAUAAAUAUAUUCAUGUUUUUUCCUUCCAUGAAAGGAGGAUUUGGAAAUCGCCUUGAACAGGGAGGAUGGCAGCUAUUGGCGAUUGGAUUCCAGAAAAGAGCAGUCUGUCUCUGAAAUCUUGUUCAGAUGGUAGGGUUGGAGGUGCGGGCAUGAGUUUUCCUGUAACUGCAGAGCUGAAUGGAAAUUUUAUUGGUGGGCUAAGGGAAAUAUAUGAUUUCGGCAUAGUUAGUGUUAAAAAGAGGUUCAAAUCCAAACAUUGAAAAAGUUAUCUCAGAGAAAGAGGUAUGUCAUCAAGUUUUAUGAUCACGUGUAACAUAUUGAUAUGCUAUGUUGCGCAAUCUAAGAGAUGAGGAGGGUGUUUUCAUAGAGGAUGAUAUUUCUCUCCAUAUUAGUUAAAUGACACAAUUGUUUGUCAUAUGUUAUAUACUUUAUGUCUUACUCAUUGGUUAUGCAGGAUUCACUAACAGUGAGAUGUAUUCCUCACAAGUAUGCA
Molecule: non-coding RNA, 3042 nt
Organism: Carica papaya (papaya)
Lineage: Eukaryota; Viridiplantae; Streptophyta; Magnoliopsida; Brassicales; Caricaceae
Source: RefSeq, a predicted model, not a curated record